UUCUUCAGGGCAGGGUGAAAUUCCCGACCGGCGGUAUAGCCCGCGAGCUUAAUAAAUAUAAUUAAGCAGAUUUGGUUAAAUUCCAAAGCCGACAGUAAAGUCUGGAUGAGAGAAGAA
RNAcentral lists this non-coding RNA (117 nucleotides) under human gut metagenome. Its description in RNAcentral is "FMN riboswitch (RFN element)". It matches the Rfam family "FMN riboswitch aptamer (RFN element)". From Rfam's summary of the family: The RFN element is a highly conserved domain that is found frequently in the 5'-untranslated regions of prokaryotic mRNAs that encode for flavin mononucleotide (FMN) biosynthesis and transport proteins. The record is from RNAcentral.